RNAcentral lists this long non-coding RNA (429 nucleotides) under Gossypium barbadense (sea-island cotton). Its description in RNAcentral is "long non-coding RNA (GBAR_LNC014759)". The record is from RNAcentral. Lineage: Eukaryota; Viridiplantae; Streptophyta; Magnoliopsida; Malvales; Malvaceae.
CGGCCCAUACCAUCUAUGUUAGCUUUUCUGUCUGAAUGCAUUCAAAACAAUUCGCUUUCUAGAUGAUCCUUCUAGAAGAGUGGGAUUAGAAUAGAACAAUUUUUCUAGUUACUUCGUUCUCUAUUUCUAUUUGAGAAAAUCCUUAGGAAAAGCAUUUUGUUUCCGCCGAGCUAAAACAAGAUGUAAAUGUCUCUAGUAAACCAAAGUUAUCGUUUAAUAGCUAUUUUGCUUCAAUCUAUCCCAUAAAAAAAAGUGAAGAUUUAGUUACGAUUAGAAAUACACUUUUCUAUCUUUAUCCAUGGAUCUUUUCCUCAUACUUAUUCAAUUGGAAGUAUUGAUCCAAUUGAAAAAAAAAUUAUGUUUCGUAAUUUCAUAAUCCAAUUUUUCAAUUUUUAGUUAGAAUAUAAUUAAAAAAUUAUAUAUAAUUUA